GCAAGUCGAGCGGUAGAAUUAAAUUUGCUUGCUACUUUAAUUUGAGAGCGGCGAACGGGUGAGUAACACGUUGGAAUCUGCCCCCAAGUCAGGGAUAGCCAUUGGAAACGAUGAUUAAUACCGGAUGUGCUCUUCGGAGUAAAGAUUUAUCGCUUGGGGAGGAUCCUGCGGACUAUCAGCUUGUUGGUAAGGUAACGGCUUACCAAGGCUAUGACGGUUAGCUGGUCUGAGAGGAUGAUC
Molecule: ribosomal RNA, 240 nt
Filed under: uncultured bacterium
Lineage: Bacteria
Description: partial 16S ribosomal RNA
Rfam family: Bacterial small subunit ribosomal RNA
Source: RNAcentral